UACAUGGGGUGCAAACGUUGUUCGGAUUCAUUGGGCGUAAAGGGUGCGUAGGUGGCGCCGUAAGUCAGGUGUGAAAUUUCGGAGCUUAACUCCGAAACUGCAUUUGAUACUGCGGUGCUUGAGGACUGGAGAGGAGACUGGAAUUCCUGGUGUAGCGGUGAAAUGCGCAGAUAUCAGGAGGAACACCGAUGGCGAAGGCAGGUCUCUGGGCCGAUACUGACGCUGAGGAGCGAAAGCGUGGGGGAGCGAACAGG
RNAcentral lists this ribosomal RNA (254 nucleotides) under uncultured bacterium. RNAcentral describes it as "partial 16S ribosomal RNA". It matches the Rfam family "Bacterial small subunit ribosomal RNA", at positions 524 to 776 of the family's 1533-position model. The record is from RNAcentral.